This 254-nucleotide ribosomal RNA is filed under the name uncultured bacterium. RNAcentral's name for it is "partial 16S ribosomal RNA". It matches the Rfam family "Bacterial small subunit ribosomal RNA", at positions 524 to 776 of the family's 1533-position model. The record is from RNAcentral.
UACGUAGGGGGCAAGCGUUGUCCGGAUUUACUGGGCGUAAAGAGCGCGUAGGCGGAAGUUUAAGCGGUGCCUGAAAGCCCCCGGCUCAACUGGGGAGGGUCACGCGAUACUGAUCGACUCGAAGGCAGGAGAGGGUAGUGGAAUUCCCGGUGUAGUGGUGAAAUGCGUAGAUAUCGGGAGGAACACCAGUGGCGAAGGCGACUACCUGGCCUGUUCUUGACGCUGAGGCGCGAAAGCUACGGGGAGCAAACGGG